This 1190-nucleotide ribosomal RNA is filed under the name Campylobacter jejuni. RNAcentral's name for it is "partial 23S ribosomal RNA". It matches the Rfam family "Bacterial large subunit ribosomal RNA", at positions 1729 to 2925 of the family's 2925-position model. Lineage: Bacteria; Pseudomonadati; Campylobacterota; Epsilonproteobacteria; Campylobacterales; Campylobacteraceae. The record is from RNAcentral.
UGUGGUUAGCCUUGUAUUAGGAUUUACUCCGAAAGCAAGGAAACUUACAACAAAGAGUCCCUCCCGACUGUUUACCAAAAACACAGCACUCUGCUAACUCGUAAGAGGAUGUAUAGGGUGUGACGCCUGCCCGGUGCUCGAAGGUUAAUUGAUGGGGUUAGCAUUAGCGAAGCUCUUGAUCGAAGCCCGAGUAAACGGCGGCCGUAACUAUAACGGUCCUAAGGUAGCGAAAUUCCUUGUCGGUUAAAUACCGACCUGCAUGAAUGGCGUAACGAGAUGGGAGCUGUCUCAAAGAGGGAUCCAGUGAAAUUGUAGUGGAGGUGAAAAUUCCUCCUACCCGCGGCAAGACGGAAAGACCCCGUGGACCUUUACUACAGCUUGACACUGCUACUUGGAUAAGAAUGUGCAGGAUAGGUGGGAGGCUUUGAGUAUAUGACGCCAGUUGUAUAUGAGCCAUUGUUGAGAUACCACUCUUUCUUAUUUGGGUAGCUAACCAGCUUGAGUUAUCCUCAAGUGGGACAAUGUCUGGUGGGUAGUUUGACUGGGGCGGUCGCCUCCCAAAUAAUAACGGAGGCUUACAAAGGUUGGCUCAGAACGGUUGGAAAUCGUUCGUAGAGUAUAAAGGUAUAAGCCAGCUUAACUGCAAGACAUACAAGUCAAGCAGAGACGAAAGUCGGUCUUAGUGAUCCGGUGGUUCUGUGUGGAAGGGCCAUCGCUCAAAGGAUAAAAGGUACCCCGGGGAUAACAGGCUGAUCUCCCCCAAGAGCUCACAUCGACGGGGAGGUUUGGCACCUCGAUGUCGGCUCAUCGCAUCCUGGGGCUGGAGCAGGUCCCAAGGGUAUGGCUGUUCGCCAUUUAAAGCGGUACGCGAGCUGGGUUCAGAACGUCGUGAGACAGUUCGGUCCCUAUCUGCCGUGGGCGUAAGAAGAUUGAAGAGAUUUGACCCUAGUACGAGAGGACCGGGUUGAACAAACCACUGGUGUAGCUGUUGUUCUGCCAAGAGCAUCGCAGCGUAGCUAAGUUUGGAAAGGAUAAACGCUGAAAGCAUCUAAGCGUGAAGCCAACUCUAAGAUGAAUCUUCUCUAAGCUCUCUAGAAGACUACUAGUUUGAUAGGCUGGGUGUGUAAUGGAUGAAAGUCCUUUAGCUGACCAGUACUAAUAGAGCGUUUGGCUUAUCUUUAAUAAAGCAU